Molecule: ribosomal RNA, 1261 nt
Filed under: Vreelandella alkaliphila
Lineage: Bacteria; Pseudomonadati; Pseudomonadota; Gammaproteobacteria; Oceanospirillales; Halomonadaceae
Description: bacterial SSU rRNA
Rfam family: Bacterial small subunit ribosomal RNA
Source: RNAcentral
UGCUACUCGCUGAACGUACGCGGCGGACGGGUGAGUAAUGCAUAGGAAUCUGCCCGAUAGUGGGGGAUAACCUGGGGAAACCCAGGCUAAUACCGCAUACGUCCUACGGGAGAAAGGGGGCUUCGGCUCCCGCUAUUGGAUGAGCCUAUGUCGGAUUAGCUAGUUGGUGAGGUAAUGGCUCACCAAGGCAACGAUCCGUAGCUGGUCUGAGAGGAUGAUCAGCCACAUCGGGACUGAGACACGGCCCGAACUCCUACGGGAGGCAGCAGUGGGGAAUAUUGGACAAUGGGCGAAAGCCUGAUCCAGCCAUGCCGCGUGUGUGAAGAAGGCCUUCGGGUUGUAAAGCACUUUCAGCGAGGAAGAACGCCUAGUGGUUAAUACCCAUUAGGAAAGACAUCACUCGCAGAAGAAGCACCGGCUAACUCCGUGCCAGCAGCCGCGGUAAUACGGAGGGUGCAAGCGUUAAUCGGAAUUACUGGGCGUAAAGCGCGCGUAGGUGGCUUGAUAAUCCGGUUGUGAUAGCCCCGGGCUCAUCCUGGGAACGGCAUCCGGAACUGUCAAGCUAGAGUGCAGGAGAGGAAGGUAGAAUUCCCCGGUGUAGCGGUGAAAUGCGUAGAGAUCGGGAGGAAUACCAGUGGCGAAGGCGGCCUUCUGGACUGACACUGACACUGAGGUGCGAAAGCGUGGGUAGCAAACAGGAUUAGAUACCCUGGUAGUCCACGCCGUAAACGAUGUCGACCAGCCGUUGGGUGCCUAGCGCACUUUGUGGCGAAGUUAACGCGAUAAGUCGACCGCCUGGGGAGUACGGCCGCAAGGUUAAAACUCAAAUGAAUUGACGGGGGCCCGCACAAGCGGUGGAGCAUGUGGUUUAAUUCGAUGCAACGCGAAGAACCUUACCUACUCUUGACAUCCUGCGAACUUGUGAGAGAUCACUUGGUGCCUUCGGGAACGCAGAGACAGGUGCUGCAUGGCUGUCGUCAGCUCGUGUUGUGAAAUGUUGGGUUAAGUCCCGUAACGAGCGCAACCCUUGUCCUUAUUUGCCAGCGGGUAAUGCCGGGAACUCUAAGGAGACUGCCGGUGACAAACCGGAGGAAGGUGGGGACGACGUCAAGUCAUCAUGGCCCUUACGAGUAGGGCUACACACGUGCUACAAUGGCCGGUACAAAGGGUUGCGAGCUCGCGAGAGUCAGCUAAUCCCGAAAAGCCGGUCUCAGUCCGGAUCGGAGUCUGCAACUCGACUCCGUGAAGUCGGAAUCGCUAG